UACAGAGGGGGCAAGCGUUGUUCGGAAUUACUGGGCGUAAAGGGCGCGUAGGUGGCCUUCUAAGUUGAACGUGAAAUCCCUCGGCUUAACCGGGGAACUGCGUCUGAUACUGGAUGGCUUGAGUUCGGGAGAGGGAUGCGGAAUUCCAGGUGUAGCGGUGAAAUGCGUAGAUAUCUGGAGGAACACCGGUGGCGAAGGCGGCAUCCUGGACCGGCACUGACACUGAGGAGCGAAAGCCAGGGGAGCAAACGGG
Molecule: ribosomal RNA, 253 nt
Filed under: uncultured bacterium
Lineage: Bacteria
Description: partial 16S ribosomal RNA
Rfam family: Bacterial small subunit ribosomal RNA
Source: RNAcentral